UGAUUGUUUAAUAUGUACUUACAAGUUACUUUUUUCUAAUUCCUUAAAAGCUACUACUUGAAAUGGCCGGGAUGCUUCAACGGUUGUAGAUGCAGCGAUGAAUGUACAAGGAGGGCAGAAAGCCAGGUUCAUGAUUAAACAUUCAAGGUGUUUCAAGUUAGAGUGAGUUUUGUAAAGGAUGUGCAAAAGCAAGAGGCAUGGUGGGAAAGACAACAUGAACUUGCGGCUGAGAAUUUUGAGGUAAGAAUUUCUUCUAAUAUUUCUUACUCUUCAUCUUCUUCUUUCAAUUUUUAUUUCUUUAAGUUUUAAUUUUGUUUAUAUAGAACUGUUAGUGUUUACAUGUAUUUUU
Long non-coding RNA from Quercus robur (English oak), 349 nucleotides. RefSeq lists it as uncharacterized. The transcript is spliced from 3 exons. The record is from RefSeq and is a predicted model, not a curated record. Lineage: Eukaryota; Viridiplantae; Streptophyta; Magnoliopsida; Fagales; Fagaceae.